GGCCUUGUAAUUCAGUUGGCUAGAGCGUUGGCUGUACUAAAGCCUUCCCCUUGCUGGCGUGGGUUCGAGCCCCACCGAGGCCG
Molecule: transfer RNA, 83 nt
Filed under: Schistocephalus solidus
Lineage: Eukaryota; Metazoa; Platyhelminthes; Cestoda; Diphyllobothriidea; Diphyllobothriidae
Rfam family: tRNA
About the family: Transfer RNA (tRNA) molecules are approximately 80 nucleotides in length.
Source: Rfam by way of RNAcentral